RNAcentral lists this ribosomal RNA (173 nucleotides) under Thioalbus denitrificans. Lineage: Bacteria; Pseudomonadati; Pseudomonadota; Gammaproteobacteria; Chromatiales; Ectothiorhodospiraceae. The record is from RNAcentral.
CCUGGCGGCCAUAGCGAACGGGAACCACCCGAUCCCAUUCCGAACUCGGAAGUGAAAACGUUCCGCGCCGAUGAUAGUGUGGGGCUUCCCCAUGUGAAAGUAGGUCACUGCCAGGCACCUAUUCCAACCCCUGCCCCCAUCGGGCAGGGGUUUUUUAUUGCCAUGAGAUAAUC